Molecule: ribosomal RNA, 500 nt
Filed under: uncultured bacterium
Lineage: Bacteria
Description: partial 16S ribosomal RNA
Rfam family: Bacterial small subunit ribosomal RNA
Source: RNAcentral
AUUGAACGCUGGCGGCAGGCCUAACACAUGCAAGUCGAGCGGAUGAUGGGAGCUUGCUCCUUGAUUCAGCGGCGGACGGGUGAGUAAUGCCUAGGAAUCUGCCUGGUAGUGUGGGACAACGUUUCGAAAGGAACGCUAAUACCGCAUACGUCCUACGGGAGAAAGCAGGGGACCUUCGGGCUUUGCGCUAUCAGAUGAUCCUAGGUCGGAUUUGCUUGUUGGUGAGGUAAUGGCUCACCAAGGCGACGAUCCGUAACUGGUCUGAGAGGAUGAUCAGUUACAGUGGAACUGGGAGACGGUCCAGACUCCUACGGGAGGCGGCAGUGGGGAAUAUUGGACAAUGGGCGAAAGCCUGAUCCAGCCAUGCCGCGUGUGUGAAGAAGGUCUUCGGAUUGUAAAGCACUUUAAGUUGGGAGGAAGGGUUGUAGAUUAAUACUCUGCAAUUUUGACGUUACCGGAAGAAUAAGCACCGGCUAACUCUGUGCCAGCCGCCGCGGUAA